CUAAGGGGGUGUUUGGGAAACACCCGUUAAAGUUUAACACCUAUCACAUCGAAUGUUUGGAUGCUAAUUAGGAGUACUAAACAUAAGCUAAUUACAAAACUAAUUGCACAGAUGGAGUAUAAUUCGCGAGACGAAUCUAUUAAGCCUAAUUAGUCCAUGAUUUGACAAUGUGGUGCUACAGUAACCAUUUGCUAAUGAUGGAUUAAUUAGGCUCAAUAGAUUCGUCUCGCGAAUUAGCACAAGGUUCUGCAAUUAGUUUUAUAAUUAGCUCAUGUUUAGUCCUCCUAAUUAGCAUCCGAACAUCCGAUGUGACACUGUUAAAGUUUAGCACCUCGUAUCCAAACAGCCCCUAA
Molecule: long non-coding RNA, 353 nt
Filed under: Setaria italica (foxtail millet)
Lineage: Eukaryota; Viridiplantae; Streptophyta; Magnoliopsida; Poales; Poaceae
Description: long non-coding RNA (SITA_LNC002960)
Source: RNAcentral